GAUGAACGCUGACAGAAUGCUUAACACAUGCAAGUCAACUGUGGCGGACGGGUGAGUAACGCGUAAAGAACUUCCCUCACGGAUAGGGACAACAAUUGGAAACGACUGCUAAUACCUGAAACUGUGAGAGAGCUUUGCGUCCCAUUAGCUAGUUGGAGAGUUAACGGCUCACCAAGGCGAUGAUGGGUAGCCGGCCUGAGAGGGUGAUCGGCCACAAGGGGACUGGGACACGGACCUUACGCCUACGGGAGGCAGAAGUGGGGAAUAUUGGACAAGGGACCAAAGUCUGAUCCAGCAAUUAUGUGUGCACGAUGAAGUUUUCGGAAUGUAAAGUGCUUUCAGUUGGGAAGCGUUACCAACAGAAGAAGUGACGGCUAAAUACGUGGCAGCAGCCGCGGUAAUAC
Molecule: ribosomal RNA, 404 nt
Filed under: uncultured bacterium
Lineage: Bacteria
Description: partial 16S ribosomal RNA
Rfam family: Bacterial small subunit ribosomal RNA
Source: RNAcentral